CACGUAGGGCGCAAGCGUUGUCCGGAAUUAUUGGGCGUAAAGAGCUCGUAGGCGGUCUGUUGCGUCCGCUGUGAAAACCCGGGGCUUAACCCUGGGCUGGCAGUGGAUACGGACAGACUAGAGGUAGGUAGGGGAGAAUGGAAUUCCCGGUGUAGCGGUGAAAUGCGCAGAUAUCGGGAGGAACACCGGUGGCGAAGGCGGUUCUCUGGGCCUUACCUGACGCUGAGGCACGAAGGUCAGGGGAGCAAACGGG
RNAcentral lists this ribosomal RNA (253 nucleotides) under uncultured bacterium. RNAcentral describes it as "partial 16S ribosomal RNA". It matches the Rfam family "Bacterial small subunit ribosomal RNA", at positions 524 to 776 of the family's 1533-position model. The record is from RNAcentral.